Molecule: ribosomal RNA, 468 nt
Filed under: uncultured bacterium
Lineage: Bacteria
Description: partial 16S ribosomal RNA
Rfam family: Bacterial small subunit ribosomal RNA
Source: RNAcentral
GACGAACGCUGGCGGCGUGCUUAACACAUGCAAGUCGAACGGAAAGGCCCUGCUCUUGUGCGUUGCUCGAUUGGCGAACGGGUGUGUAACACGUGUGUAACCUGCCCUUGACUUUGGGAUAACUUCAGGAAACUGGGGCUAAUACCGGAUAGGAUCUCCUGCUGCAUGGUGGGGGUUGGAAAGUUUCGGCGGUUGGGGAUGGACUGGCGGCUUAUCAGCUUGUUUGUGGGGUUGUUGCUUACCAAGGCUUUGACGGGUAGCCGGCCUGAGAGGGUGAACGGCGACAAGGGGCCUGAGGUAGGGCCCAGUCUCCUACGGGAGGCAGCAGUGGGGAACAUUGCACAAUGGGGCGAAGUCAGAUACAGCAACGCCGCGUGCGGGAUAACGGCCUUCGGGUUGUAAACCACUUUCGCCUGUGACGAAGCGUGAGUGACGGUAAUGGGUAAAGAAGCACCGGCUAACUACGUG